UGGAAUACUAAUUUUUUUAUACAAAAUUUGUUCAUUUGAAUAAUAUAUUUUGAUUGUGGUGAUUAUGGUGAUUGUGGUGAUUGUGGUGACUAUGGUGAUUGUGGUGAUAUAGUGAUAUGGUGAUAUAGUGAUUGUGGUGAUUGUGGUGACUAUGGUGAUUGUGGUGAUAUAGUGAUAUGGUGAUAUGGUGAUUGUGGUGAUUAUGGUGAUAUAUGAUAUAGUGAUAUAGUGAUAGGGUGAUUGUGGUGAUUAUGGUGAUAUGGUGAUUGUGGUGAUUGUAGUGAUAUAGUGGUGUGGUGAUUGUGGUGAUUAUGGUGAUUAUGGUGAUAUGGUGAUAUAGUGAUUGUGGUGAUUGUGGUGACUGUGGUGACAUGGUGAUAUGGUGAUUGUGGUGAUUAUGGUGAUUAUGGUGAUAUGGUGAUAUAGUGAUUGUGGUGAUUGUGGUGACUGUGGUGACAUGGUGAUAUGGUGAUUGUGGUGAUUAUGGUGAUAUGGUGAUUGUGGUGAUUGUGGUGAUAUAGUGGUAUGGUGAUUGUGGUGAUUAUGGUGAUUAUGGUGAUAUAGUGAUAUGGUGAUAUGGUGAUUGUGGUGAUUAUGGUGAUAUGGUGAUAUAGUGAUAUGGUGAUAUGGUGAUUAUGGUGAUUAUGGUGAUAUGGUGAUUGUGGUGAUUAUGGUGAUAUAGUGAUUGUGGUGAUUAUGGUGAUUAUGGUGAUUAUGGUGAUAGUGAUAUAGUGAUAUAGUGAUUAUGGUGAUUAUGGUGAUAGUGAUAUAGUGAUAUGGUGAUAGGGUGAUUGUGGUGAUUAUGGUGAUAUGGUGAUAUAGUGAUAUGGUGAUAUAGUGAUAUGGUGAUUAUGGUGAUUGUGGUGAUUGUGGUGAUGUGGUGAUUGUGAUGAUUGUGGUGAUUAUGGUGAUUAUGGUGAUUAUGGUGAUUAUGGUGUUGUGGUGAUUCGUAUAAGAUGAAAUGAUUCUGGGGACUGAGUCGUUAUUCUCGGUGUUAAUGAACGUGCUGCAUUAAUAAACCUUGCUAAAACCUUUCUGAAACCAUCACUGCUUUCUUUCAUAUUCUUGGCUUUUGGACCUUGAAUAUUUACACAUUUCAUUGUUUCUCUACUCAAACUCCUCUAUAGUGUGUGUGUGUGUGUGAGAGAGAGAGAGAGUGAAAAGAAGAGAAAACACUUGUUCUCCACCCACUCACACACACACUCACUCACACUCUCUCUCACACACACAAACACUCACACACUCACACACACACACACACACACAAACACUCACACACACAUAAUACACAUGGCGAAAUCAGAUUAGUUGGAGGGUUUAAAAUAAUAAUGCCGGAGUUUUGAUUGAAUCCUGUAUAUAACGGCGUGAGAGAUCCUGCGCUGUGUGUGAUAAUGUGUGAAAGACAGAAGGCACCUGACACCUCCCUCUCGCUCAAUGUUUUACGAGAUCGAGUCUUUAGGUAAUAGCUGCG
Molecule: long non-coding RNA, 1471 nt
Organism: Ictalurus punctatus (channel catfish)
Lineage: Eukaryota; Metazoa; Chordata; Actinopteri; Siluriformes; Ictaluridae
Source: Ensembl